UGCAAAUGAUGUGAAAGAGUAUUUCUUAUCUUAAUAACCUUGCUGACCUUUCCCACCAAGACCACUGAUGAA
Small nucleolar RNA from Toxotes jaculatrix (banded archerfish), 72 nucleotides. RefSeq annotates it as small nucleolar RNA SNORD24. Lineage: Eukaryota; Metazoa; Chordata; Actinopteri; Toxotidae. The record is from RefSeq and is a predicted model, not a curated record. The transcript has a single exon.